GAGGAAUCGUUGUAGCUCUCAAGCAUCAAAAAAUCUAGCAGGGAACUUAUUGAAAUAACUUGCAUUUUGCAUUCUAUGAAUUUUUUUCAUUCAUGGAUCUUAGAGAGAUCAUCUGACACCUUUAAAUGCAGUUGAUAAAGGCAUUUCCAAACAUUUAAAGCCCAUUUGUUGCAUAUUCAAAUCAACAUUGUUGAAUCACCCUUGGCUGUCUUAAUUUUGUAACCCAG
This 227-nucleotide unclassified non-coding RNA is filed under the name Hevea brasiliensis (rubber tree). The record is from RNAcentral. Lineage: Eukaryota; Viridiplantae; Streptophyta; Magnoliopsida; Malpighiales; Euphorbiaceae.